Molecule: long non-coding RNA, 1563 nt
Organism: Mangifera indica (mango)
Lineage: Eukaryota; Viridiplantae; Streptophyta; Magnoliopsida; Sapindales; Anacardiaceae
Exons: 3
Source: RefSeq, a predicted model, not a curated record
AUUUGAAAUUCAAAUGACUGAUUAAGAAUAUGACACUGAUCAUGUUGUCUUGAACAUUGAUAAAAUUCAGCUAACUUCAUGGAAAGCUCGUUCUAACGCGAUGAUCGCAGGUUGUUCAAGGUGGAACAAGAUGGUUCCCUUGGUUGUUCACUGUUCUACACCAAAAACUUGGACAUGGAAAACCUGUUACAUAUGAUUGAAGUCAAGAACGAACUCGUUCCACUAACCCAUUCCUAUUUUAAAGAAGGAUUAAAUCCUACACAAUUCUCAGUUUCAGCACUUGGCUUCAUCCUUUUGAUAACUUGCAUAUAAUUUAACUAAUUUAAACUGCUUAAAUUUGUUAGAUGCUCCUGUUUCUGUUGGUGAUGGCUCUCCUUCUAGUGGAGAUGAAAGCACAUCCUGUUUCUGGUUCUGGUGGGAGGGCAAAAUAUCCUUUUUCGGACUUAGUAUGGGGGUGCUGCUUCUCAGGCCUCAGUUGAUCUUUUCAGGGUUUAGCUAUUGAGAUAUGCUCUCUCUGUAUACAUAUGAUUUUGUGCCUUAGAUGGUUCUGCGGCCAAAGUGGAAGUGCAGAUAAUCAUUCAGUUUUUUUUUAUUGGCGGUUUCCCUUCACAAGUGAGUAUUAUUCCCUCCAUCAAUUAUAAACAUUAUGCAUAACAUCGUGCUUGUUUUUCAUGAUUUAUUUUGUUGACAUGUCUAUUCUUAUGUUAAAGUCCUUCCUCCGAUGCCAACAACGAAAAUGCUAUUGCUUUUGACUGGCUAAGUCAAUAUCAUGCUUUUAGUUUAUGGUGAAUUGCAGCGGAAGGGGGUUCACUGUGUCUUUUUUACAGGCUUUGGAUUUUAAGAUAAGCUUCAACCCAUUUAUAAAUUUGACUAUACUUUGGGUGGUAAUUCUUUGCAAGCCUUCAUGGACUUGAUUUGCAAAUGGGAGUUACAGAACAGUUUAGUUGCUAAAGCUGCAGGUUUCAUUUUUCAAAUUUUGACAGGGGAAACAUGCUGUUUGCUUAUUUUAAGUUUGUGGAUUGCAGAAUUUGCGGCAUCCUUGGGGUCUGUUAUAAAUGAAAUUGGCGACGACAAGGUCUUGAAUGUUGUCCAGGCAUAUUUUGCUUCUUCACUUAGAAGUUUGGAUGUAAUAUGUGCUCAUUUCGACAUUUAAGCUGUGAACCAUCUCAGUUUUAUUUGUCCUCGAAGAUGUAGUAGGAUCCUCUAAUGGCCAGUGAUAAAGCCUCGAUGACCUCUGGUCCUUAAUUAAUGAAGGUGAUGCAAUGGUUUAUGGAAGGCCUUAUCCCACGUCUGAUUCUGCAGGUAAAUGCCAUUGGUAUAGAGAAAGUUUUAAACUGUUAGGACUGUAUCAGAGACUUCGCAUUCUUGUUGGAUAUCACAAGUUAUCGCUACAUGGAAGUUCAAUGAAGAUUAAGUAUUUCUAUUCAUAACAGAAUAAAUUGUGUAGCCUUUGCAAAAUGAAUCGUGUAUUCUAAUAGGGAUAUUAGACAACAAUAGCUUUGUCAGUAAUUGCUGCCAUUUCUCCUCUCUAAUGAAACGCCUUGUGAGUGUUUUUCCUGCUUU